AACAUUAUUGCAAUAGAGCAUUAGGAUCUCAUGCCCGAAGGCAACUAGACGAAAAAUUUGUCACCAAGUUCUUACCAUCAAAGGAAGCCCAAGCUCAGGUUCUCCAAUAUGAGGAAAAAAGGAAAUCGGGCAAAUUUACAUCUUGAAGCUAUAUACAAUCAAAUUUGACCUACUGUGAAAAUCAAGAUAAUGUUCCUACCAACUUUGCUAAGAAGUGGAUGUGGAUGGAAGCUAGAGGCAGAUUUUAACUUUCAUUCAUCCAUUAUUAGAAAUGUUUUAUUUCCUCCUCAGGAAGCGUCAGGUGAAGACAAACAUUUAGAGUGAAACAACGUGAUAUUUCUUCAAACAUGUACAAGUUAUAUAGUAUGAACAAAUUUGAGGCAACUUAACAAAUUCAUA
Molecule: long non-coding RNA, 399 nt
Organism: Vitis riparia (riverbank grape)
Lineage: Eukaryota; Viridiplantae; Streptophyta; Magnoliopsida; Vitales; Vitaceae
Exons: 2
Source: RefSeq, a predicted model, not a curated record